This 442-nucleotide ribosomal RNA is filed under the name uncultured bacterium. RNAcentral describes it as "partial 16S ribosomal RNA". It matches the Rfam family "Bacterial small subunit ribosomal RNA", at positions 338 to 795 of the family's 1533-position model. The record is from RNAcentral.
CCUACGGGUGGCAGCAGUAGGGAAUCUUUCACAAUGGGCGAAGGCCUGAUGGAGCAACGCCGCGUGCAGGAUGAAGGCCUUCGGGUUGUAAACUGCUUUUAUAAGCGAGAAAUAUGAUGGUAACUUAUGAAUAAGGAUCGGCUAACUACGUGCCAGCAGCCGCGGUCAUACGUAGGAUCCGAGCAUUAUCCGGAGUGACUGGGUGUAAAGAGUUGCGUAGGUGGCAUAAUAAGUAGCUAGUGAAAUCGGGUGGCUCAACCAUUCAGACUAUUAGCUAAACUGUUAAGCUCGAGACCGUUAGGGGUAACUGGAAUUUCUAGUGUAGGAGUGAAAUCCGUAGAUAUUAGAAAGAACACCAAUAGCGUAGGCAGGUUACUGGGACGGUUCUGACACUAAGGCACGAAAGCGUAGGGAGCAAACGGGAUUAGAUACCCCUGUAGUC